UACGGAGGGUGCGAGCGUUGUCCGGAAUCAUUGGGCGUAAAGGGCGCGUAGGUGGCCUGGUCAGCGUGCGGUGAAAGCUCGGGGCUCAACCCCGAGUCGGCCGUGCGAACUGCUGGGCUGGAGCACUGUAGAGGCAGGCGGAAUUCCGGGUGUAGCGGUGGAAUGCGUAGAGAUCCGGAAGAACACCGGUGGCGAAGGCGGCUACUCUGGAACGCAACUGACGCAUGAGACGCG
RNAcentral lists this ribosomal RNA (234 nucleotides) under uncultured bacterium. Its description in RNAcentral is "partial 16S ribosomal RNA". It matches the Rfam family "Bacterial small subunit ribosomal RNA", at positions 524 to 755 of the family's 1533-position model. The record is from RNAcentral.